GGUGAAGCUGCGGUCUCACAACUAAUGUUCAAAUAAGUAAUAUUUUGAAUCAUAAUAUAUUUAAUUACCUAGCUGGUGCUAUUAUAAAAUGCCGGACACCCUGAUAUCGCUGCUUUGUUUGUGAGAAUUUGUUGGCAAAUCAUCUCUCUCGUUUAAUUUAUAGAGUUAUCCUCAAAAAACAUUCACACUAGAUUCAGAACAAUGAAGUCGUGGCAACUGUUUCUUCUAACUCUACUGCUGGUGCUAGUGACGGUGAAGAGCUAUGAAUCAAAUCCAGAGAAAUACUGUGGAAGGAGGUUGGCUCAAGUAAGGGCGGUGGUAUGUGGUGACUCUGAUGUCUUCCUGAACAGAAGAAGGAAGAGAAGCCUGCAUGAAGAGUGCUGCGAAAGAGUGUGCACCCUGGAAGAUAUCCAAACAUAUUGUUAAUUUUCAUACUGCCAAGAGUGUAAACAGACCACGAAUCAAAUUGAUACUAACUAAUUGAUAUUAAACAUCUACCCCAUACUAAAAGUGCAAUCAAACUAUGUAUUUUUAAUAAGCUGAAUGUUUUACAAAUAAAUGCAGAUUACAAAAACUAU
Molecule: long non-coding RNA, 578 nt
Organism: Ostrinia nubilalis (European corn borer)
Lineage: Eukaryota; Metazoa; Arthropoda; Insecta; Lepidoptera; Crambidae
Exons: 2
Source: RefSeq, a predicted model, not a curated record